AUGCACGAAUGCGCCCUCCCUCCACCUGAUCCAAAAAUUCAUUCAGAGUGCAACAAUCUUCAGGAGCACCGCUGGGUGUGCCCGUGCGGGACGCGGGCGGUCGCGGCGUGGUCGUCGGGGUGGCAGCAGGGUGCUCGACACCGGCGUGUGGCCCUAGAGCCCAAGCCGCCGGUGCUCGAUGACCGCUGGAUGCCGCCGGUGCUCGAUGACCGCUGGAUGCCGCCGGUGCCCAAGCGGUGGCUGGGCUACCAACUUGGUCGCUACUCUGAUCUGCACUUCCCGGUUCCCGGAUUCAUUGUCACGGCUAAUCGCAUUGAGC
RNAcentral lists this ribosomal RNA (319 nucleotides) under Triticum aestivum (bread wheat). RNAcentral describes it as "partial small subunit ribosomal RNA". The record is from RNAcentral. Lineage: Eukaryota; Viridiplantae; Streptophyta; Magnoliopsida; Poales; Poaceae.